UACGGAGGAUGCGAGCGUUAUCCGGAUUUAUUGGGUUUAAAGGGUGCGUAAGCGGACUGUCAAGUCAGCGGUAAAAUUGAGAGGCUCAACCUCUUCCCGCCGUUGGAACUGGUGGUCUUGAGUGGAUGAGAAGUACGCGGAAUGCGUGGUGUAGCGGUGAAAUGCAUAGAUAUCACGCAGAACUCCGAUUGCGAAGGCAGCGUACCGGCAUCCAACUGACGCUGAGGCACGAAAGCGUGGGGAUCAAACAGG
Molecule: ribosomal RNA, 252 nt
Filed under: uncultured bacterium
Lineage: Bacteria
Description: partial 16S ribosomal RNA
Rfam family: Bacterial small subunit ribosomal RNA
Source: RNAcentral